RNAcentral lists this long non-coding RNA (348 nucleotides) under Rhipicephalus microplus (southern cattle tick). RNAcentral's name for it is "uncharacterized LOC119173408". Lineage: Eukaryota; Metazoa; Arthropoda; Arachnida; Ixodida; Ixodidae. The record is from RNAcentral.
GACGCCGUGAAGAUGAAGCCCGUAAUUCUGCACUCGUUUGUGGUGGCAGCGCUCAUUAGCACGGCUCUAUGUGGACUUCCUCCUCGUGCUGGCGCGAGAAUUAGAUAUGCUUGUACAAAUGACUGCAGAAACAGACACGCAUGGCAAUCAUGUGGAAGAGGAUGCACUUGUACACCUCACAACACGUACGGAAUUGUUUUAAUAUGUUUGGCUAGACGCUCGCAGAUGCCAUACGAUUUUGGUAGUCGUCGGGGAUGAUUGAAGAUGGACUAAUGCUCUCAACAUCAUUGCGCAAUAUGUAACCACUGGAGCUUCUACACUGACAUAUAAAACAAUAUAAAGAUGCAA